Molecule: non-coding RNA, 3672 nt
Organism: Heterocephalus glaber (naked mole-rat)
Lineage: Eukaryota; Metazoa; Chordata; Mammalia; Rodentia; Bathyergidae
Source: RefSeq, a predicted model, not a curated record
UCGAUGCCAGCCUGGGCUACAUAGUUCAGGCCAGCCUGGAUGACAGGGUGAGACCUUGUGAGACUCCAGGGUGAGACUCCUCUCCCCCCACAAAAAGAGAAAGAAACGUUUCCCCUUGGAAUUCAGGAGGACACGAGACAGAUUCCAUCAUGAAGUUUCUGUCGCUGUGUCUAAUGCUGCCACCACCACCAUCCCGUCCUCAUUUCCACCCUUCUACCCUUUCUUCCUGAGUUGCAGCAGGUAGGAAGAGCAGCACAACCAUUCUCAGCCCCUACAGCCUGGUCUUCGGGAUGCACUCCUGGGGACAUGGAAAGGAAGCCCAGGUGGGAAUGUUUGCAUUUCUGACAGCCCAGGGCCUGGGCAGUAGAUUCUAGGGGCACGGAAGGAUACCUGCUCCCUGGAGAGUGGCAUAGCAGGUGGGUAUGGCUGGUGAGCCAGCAGAAGCAGCAGCUCUUCCAUCCCAGACGGGCCUGGAAUCUCUGUCUUCCUCGUGCUAAGAGGCAGUUGCCUCCAUUCCAUGGUGGGGCUGGAGGUGGCAUUCUGUCUGAGCCUGCUUAACUCUCUGCAAAUGGUGCUGUCAUCUCUAACAAGUUGUCUUCUGCAGAACUAGCCAGCUCGGACUGUCCUCUAAGGAAACUCUGAUACCCUGAUGGGGUACCCACACCCUAGAGUUGGCCAGCAGGGGGCACCAGCACACCCUCACCUCACACACAGUGCUGAUUCUCAACAUUGGUAACAUGGGCUUGCAGUGUGGGGUGAACAGUGGCCUUCGACACAUAGUCAAAGAGUCAACCAAAGUUUUUCUUUAAAAAACUCAUAUGAUAUUUUUUACUUGGAAUAUAUACUAAAUUUGAAUUCUAAUAACAAUGAAGAGAUCAAAUCAGACAUAAAGGAAUGGGAGAAAGAAUAAGGUAUAGGAAAUUGGCAUAGAAGCCAGCUUCCCUGAAUACACUUUACUUUGUAGAUUUGACUUUGGAAUCAUAGAAAUAGUUGACAUAGUUACAACAAAUUAAGUCAAAAUUUAAAAACAGAAUCCUAAAAUGUCAAAAGCAAAAUCAAACAAAUGUACCUAAUUUUGUAUCAUAUUAGUGACUUAGCCAUGCAGAUGGGAAUAAUUUAUGAUAGCUUCAAAGCAUGAUAAUUUACGUGUACAUUCCUAGUGAGAUAUAUUCCAAAGCAAAAAGAACUGAAAAAAAGACUUAAAUGUUUCAUUUUUCUUAUUUCUAGUCAUAACAUUGCCGCUGCACUUCUGAUGCUAUAUCAUAAGCUAAAAAGGAUUAAGUUCACAUCUUUGAGAAUCAAGAUUUCUAACCUCAAAAAGAGAUACAAAUAUAAAAUGGAAGAAAUUAGUGAAAUGUAAUUCUAAAGUCAUUGGCAUCACCAGCAUGGACUCAAGAUGUAUUUUCGCUUAAACAAGGGAAGAGAAAGCAACAGUGACCCCAAACACCUGAGGACCUGUGGGCACUGGUUUUGCUCUACACAGCCCUGGGGGACCACGCCUGCCUGCACUAGGCUUCCUCUCCAGUCCUCUUUCCUCUUCUGCCCAGGAAUAGGAUGGCUGGGCCCUAUGAAAGUGUGUGCAAAACUUUCUAAGAUCCUGCGGAACUGUUUUCCAAAAUUAGUAAAUCAUUAUGCUUUCCUGCCAGCACUGCACAAAGCCCAGCUGUGAACGGCUCUAACAAACAACAAACAAACAAGUCCCCCGGACAAAAAAGUACCAAGAGUUGGGACCCAUGUGGAGUAUUUGGAGUCUUCACAUUCUGCUAGUGAGAAUGUGAAAUGGUGCAGCCCCUGUGUGUGACAGGUCCUGCAAGUUAAGUUGCUCCUGCCUAGCACUGGAAUGAUCUAGAAUCUGAGUAUUUGCAUUUUUCAUUUGGAAAGACCUUUAGAAUUCUUUCCUUAGGGUAGGAUGUUUAUACUUGUGAGCAUUACAUGAAAGAAUUGAAAAGAAGUGUUCAAACAAAAACAUGCACAUGAAUAUUCAUUACACAAAUCACUGCUUACAAAAACUACCCAUAUGCUCAUGGAUGCAUGAAUGGAUGAACAAAAUGUGCUACAGCCAUACAGUGGAAUAUUACUCAGCCACCAGAGGAGUGAGGCCCUGACAUGCUGACAUGGAUGAACCUUGAAAAACACAGGUUCUGUGAAAGAAGACAGAAACCAAGGCCACAUGCUUGUAUGGUUCCAUUUAUAUGAAAUAUCCAGAAUAGGCCAAUCUGGAGGGACAGAAAGCAGAUUAGUGGCUGCCAGCUGUCGGAAGGAGUGUAUUAAUUGUGUCUCCUAUUUUCUGUAUUUCAUGAUGCUGUAACCUCUUGAUGCAAUGCAGACCCAGGAAGAGCCCUUGGGGGACCUGGCUACUUCCUGGAGAUCUCAAGACUCUCCCAAGCAUGGGCCUUGAUGUGUGAACCAACUGCAAGCCCACUUAUCUUAGCAGCACCCCACAGCCCAGAGCACUAAACCAGGACCCCUGUAAGAGCCUAGAGCCUGCUGAAAGCGCUCACACUAUCAGAGUCCUAAUCUGAUCAUUGGUGCGCCUCCCCUCGACCUGCCCAUCCCCGAAAACCAUGCAAGCUUUCUUCUGCUUCUGAUCCCCCACCUCCGCACCUCCCUGAGUGGCCCAGCCAGGUCUGGGCCUCCUGAAUUUAGGGGCCUGGGACCAUAAAGCCUCUUCCAUCAUGAUGGUCCUGUCCAUGCUUGUGUGUCUUCCUGCUCCUGAUUAAAAGAGAUCUGGGAUAUGCUUUGAAACAGGACAAAGUUCAGUGUGCAUGGCUUCCACAUGGGGUGAGAAAAGUGCUCUGGAACUGGAUAGAGAUGUGGUUGUACAACACAGUGAGUGUGCUGAAUGUGUCUCCCAUGUUAUGUGUAUUUUACCACAAUAAAGACGAUGUUAAAAUUAGAUUUUUCCGAGUCUUCGUUAGCAGUCACUUCAUUGCUGCGGUUCCUCACUAAUUCUAAGCAUUCUGGUAGGUAUGUAUUACCUCACUGUGAGGUUAAUUUUUGUUUCACUAACAAUGAAGGAUGCUGAUUUUUUUGCUACCAAAUGUCAUUUUUAUUCUGAAAUGAUUUGAGAUUGACAUGCAGGUUGCAUAAGUGACACAGAGAGCUCUGAUGCACCCCUCAUUCUGUUUUCCCUAAUCUUAAAAAGCCACAGAACAAGGUAGAAACCAGGAAAUUAGUGUAGAUACAUAUGGCAGACUAAUUAUACAACAAAUUGAAUUUUACCCACUCCCCACUCGUUUGUUUUUCUGGUCCAGGAUCUAACCCCAGACAUCAGAUUGCACUAAUUGUCAAAUUUCCUCAACAGUUCUUUAAUCUUUCUUUGCCUCUGAAGACAUAUACUCUUUUGAUGAAUACCGUUCAGUUAUUUUUAAGAUGGGCCCUCAAUGCCUGUGUUAAUAAAAGUUUUAUGGAGAGAUACUUUGAGACUAAACCAAAGCCUGUUUCACCAUUACUUCAGUCAGUCAUUUCAAGAUCUUUUCUCACCUUAGCUUCAGCAACUAUUACUGCAGCAUUUACCUAAUGGUGGCUUCCUGUUUCCUUUAUUACUUCUACAUUUGCUCAUUAGAAUUUUACUGCAAGAAAGAGCAGUUCUUCCUCUUCCAUUUACUUGUUUGUAUCAAUGUUUACUUCAGAAUAUUUAUUUUACACAGUGGGUUAUAAUCCAAUACUACU